RNAcentral lists this ribosomal RNA (496 nucleotides) under uncultured bacterium. RNAcentral's name for it is "partial 16S ribosomal RNA". It matches the Rfam family "Bacterial small subunit ribosomal RNA", at positions 28 to 506 of the family's 1533-position model. The record is from RNAcentral.
GAUGAACGCUGGCGGCGUGCCUAAUACAUGCAAGUCGAGCGAACAGACGAGGAGCUUGCUCCUUUGACGUUAGCGGCGGACGGGUGAGUAACACGUGGGUAACCUACCUAUAAGACUGGGAUAACUUCGGGAAACCGGAGCUAAUACCGGAUAAUAUUUCGAACCGCAUGGUUCAAUAGUGAAAGAUGGCUUUGCUAUCACUUAUAGAUGGACCUGCGCCGUAUUAGCUAGUUGGUAAGGUAACGGCUUACCAAGGCAACGAUACGUAGCCGACCUGAGAGGGUGUUCGCCAACCCGGAAACUGAGACAGGGUCCAGAUUCCUAGGGGAGGAAGCAGUAGGGAAUCUUCCGCAAUGGGCGAAGGCCUGACGGAGCAACGCGGGGUGAGUGAUGAAGGUCUUCGGAUCGUAAAACUCUGUUAUUAGGGAAGAAUAAAGGUGUAAGUAACUGUGCACGUCUUGACGGUCCCUAAUAAGAAAGCCACGGCUAACUCCGU